Molecule: ribosomal RNA, 118 nt
Filed under: Nelumbo nucifera (sacred lotus)
Lineage: Eukaryota; Viridiplantae; Streptophyta; Magnoliopsida; Proteales; Nelumbonaceae
Source: RNAcentral
GGGUGCGAUCAUACCAGCACUAAUGCACCGGAUCCCAUCAGAACUCCGAAGUUAAGCGUGAUUGGGCGAGAGUAGUUUCGGAUGCGUGACCUCCUGGGAAGUCCACGUGUUGCACCCC